Molecule: ribosomal RNA, 429 nt
Filed under: Chloroflexota bacterium
Lineage: Bacteria; Bacillati; Chloroflexota
Description: Chloroflexi bacterium partial 16S ribosomal RNA
Rfam family: Bacterial small subunit ribosomal RNA
Source: RNAcentral
UGGGGAAUAUUGCACAAUGGGCGCAAGCCUGAUGCAGCCAUGCCGCGUGUGUGAAGAAGGCCUUCGGGUUGUAAAGCACUUUCAGCGGGGAGGAAGGCGUUAAGGUUAAUAACCUUGGCGAUUGACGUUACCCGCAGAAGAAGCACCGGCUAACUCCGUGCCAGCAGCCGCGGUAAUACGGAGGGUGCAAGCGUUAAUCGGAAUUACUGGGCGUAAAGCGCACGCAGGCGGUCUGUCAAGUCGGAUGUGAAAUCCCCGGGCUCAACCUGGGAACUGCAUUCGAAACUGGCAGGCUAGAGUCUUGUAGAGGGGGGUAGAAUUCCAGGUGUAGCGGUGAAAUGCGUAGAGAUCUGGAGGAAUACCGGUGGCGAAGGCGGCCCCCUGGACAAAGACCGACGCUCAGGUGCGAAAGCGUGGGGAGCAAACAGG